UGGCUCAGACGGUAAAGCGUCUGCCUGCAAUGUGGGAGACCCAGGUUCGAUUCCUGG
Non-coding RNA from Bos taurus (domestic cattle), 57 nucleotides. NCBI's taxonomy places the organism in Eukaryota, Metazoa, Chordata, Mammalia, Artiodactyla, Bovidae. The record is from Rfam.